Molecule: ribosomal RNA, 2923 nt
Filed under: Klebsiella pneumoniae
Lineage: Bacteria; Pseudomonadati; Pseudomonadota; Gammaproteobacteria; Enterobacterales; Enterobacteriaceae
Description: bacterial LSU rRNA
Rfam family: Bacterial large subunit ribosomal RNA
Source: RNAcentral
GGGUUGUGAGGUUAAGCGACUAAGCGUACACGGUGGAUGCCCUGGCAGUCAGAGGCGAUGAAGGACGUGCUAAUCUGCGAAAAGCGUCGGUAAGGUGAUAUGAACCGUUAUAGCCGGCGAUGUCCGAAUGGGGAAACCCAGUGCAAUUCGUUGCACUAUCGUUAACUGAAUACAUAGGUUAACGAGGCGAACCGGGGGAACUGAAACAUCUAAGUACCCCGAGGAAAAGAAAUCAACCGAGAUUCCCCCAGUAGCGGCGAGCGAACGGGGAGCAGCCCAGAGUCUGAAUCAGCUUGUGUGUUAGUGGAACGGUCUGGAAAGUCCGACGGUACAGGGUGAUAGUCCCGUACACCAAAAUGCACAGGCUGUGAACUCGAAGAGUAGGGCGGGACACGUGGUAUCCUGUCUGAAUAUGGGGGGACCAUCCUCCAAGGCUAAAUACUCCUGACUGACCGAUAGUGAACCAGUACCGUGAGGGAAAGGCGAAAAGAACCCCGGCGAGGGGAGUGAAAAAGAACCUGAAACCGUGUACGUACAAGCAGUGGGAGCACCUUCGGGUGUGACUGCGUACCUUUUGUAUAAUGGGUCAGCGACUUAUAUUCUGUAGCAAGGUUAACCGUAUAGGGGAGCCGCAGGGAAACCGAGUCUUAACUGGGCGUUAAGUUGCAGGGUAUAGACCCGAAACCCGGUGAUCUAGCCAUGGGCAGGUUGAAGGUUGGGUAACACUAACUGGAGGACCGAACCGACUAAUGUUGAAAAAUUAGCGGAUGACUUGUGGCUGGGGGUGAAAGGCCAAUCAAACCGGGAGAUAGCUGGUUCUCCCCGAAAGCUAUUUAGGUAGCGCCUCGUGAACUCAUCUUCGGGGGUAGAGCACUGUUUCGGCUAGGGGGUCAUCCCGACUUACCAACCCGAUGCAAACUACGAAUACCGAAGAAUGUUAUCACGGGAGACACACGGCGGGUGCUAACGUCCGUCGUGAAGAGGGAAACAACCCAGACCGCCAGCUAAGGUCCCAAAGUCAUGGUUAAGUGGGAAACGAUGUGGGAAGGCACAGACAGCCAGGAUGUUGGCUUAGAAGCAGCCAUCAUUUAAAGAAAGCGUAAUAGCUCACUGGUCGAGUCGGCCUGCGCGGAAGAUGUAACGGGGCUAAACCAUGCACCGAAGCUGCGGCAGCGACACUAUGUGUUGUUGGGUAGGGGAGCGUUCUGUAAGCCUGCGAAGGUGACCUGUGAGGGUUGCUGGAGGUAUCAGAAGUGCGAAUGCUGACAUAAGUAACGAUAAAGCGGGUGAAAAGCCCGCUCGCCGGAAGACCAAGGGUUCCUGUCCAACGUUAAUCGGGGCAGGGUGAGUCGACCCCUAAGGCGAGGCCGAAAGGCGUAGUCGAUGGGAAACAGGUUAAUAUUCCUGUACUUGGUGUUACUGCGAAGGGGGGACGGAGAAGGCUAUGUUAGCCGGGCGACGGUUGUCCCGGUUUAAGCAUGUAGGCUGGUUGUCCAGGCAAAUCCGGAUAAUCAAGGCUGAGGUGUGAUGACGAGGCACUACGGUGCUGAAGUAACAAAUGCCCUGCUUCCAGGAAAAGCCUCUAAGCAUCAGGUAACAUCAAAUCGUACCCCAAACCGACACAGGUGGUCAGGUAGAGAAUACCAAGGCGCUUGAGAGAACUCGGGUGAAGGAACUAGGCAAAAUGGUGCCGUAACUUCGGGAGAAGGCACGCUGGUGUGUAGGUGAAGCCCCUGCGGGUGGAGCUGAGACCAGUCGAAGAUACCAGCUGGCUGCAACUGUUUAUUAAAAACACAGCACUGUGCAAACACGAAAGUGGACGUAUACGGUGUGACGCCUGCCCGGUGCCGGAAGGUUAAUUGAUGGGGUUAUCCGUAAGGAGAAGCUCUUGAUCGAAGCCCCGGUAAACGGCGGCCGUAACUAUAACGGUCCUAAGGUAGCGAAAUUCCUUGUCGGGUAAGUUCCGACCUGCACGAAUGGCGUAAUGAUGGCCAGGCUGUCUCCACCCGAGACUCAGUGAAAUUGAACUCGCUGUGAAGAUGCAGUGUACCCGCGGCAAGACGGAAAGACCCCGUGAACCUUUACUAUAGCUUGACACUGAACAUUGAGCCUUGAUGUGUAGGAUAGGUGGGAGGCUUUGAAGCGUGGACGCCAGUCUGCGUGGAGCCAACCUUGAAAUACCACCCUUUAAUGUUUGAUGUUCUAACGUUGGCCCCUUACCGGGGUUGCGGACAGUGUCUGGUGGGUAGUUUGACUGGGGCGGUCUCCUCCCAAAGCGUAACGGAGGAGCACGAAGGUUAGCUAAUCCUGGUCGGACAUCAGGAGGUUAGUGCAAUGGCAUAAGCUAGCUUGACUGCGAGCGUGACGGCGCGAGCAGGUGCGAAAGCAGGUCAUAGUGAUCCGGUGGUUCUGAAUGGAAGGGCCAUCGCUCAACGGAUAAAAGGUACUCCGGGGAUAACAGGCUGAUACCGCCCAAGAGUUCAUAUCGACGGCGGUGUUUGGCACCUCGAUGUCGGCUCAUCACAUCCUGGGGCUGAAGUAGGUCCCAAGGGUAUGGCUGUUCGCCAUUUAAAGUGGUACGCGAGCUGGGUUUAGAACGUCGUGAGACAGUUCGGUCCCUAUCUGCCGUGGGCGCUGGAGAAUUGAGGGGGGCUGCUCCUAGUACGAGAGGACCGGAGUGGACGCAUCACUGGUGUUCGGGUUGUCAUGCCAAUGGCACUGCCCGGUAGCUAAAUGCGGAAGAGAUAAGUGCUGAAAGCAUCUAAGCACGAAACUUGCCCCGAGAUGAGUUCUCCCUGAGACUUUAAGUCUCCUGAAGGAACGUUAAAGACGAUGACGUUGAUAGGCCGGGUGUGUAAGCGCAGCGAUGCGUUGAGCUAACCGGUACUAAUGAACCGUGAGGCUUAACCUUACAACGCCGAAG